GACGAACGCUAGCGGCGUGCCUAAGGUAUGCAAGUCGAACGAGGAAGCAAUUCCGAGUGGCGAACGGUCGAGGAACACGUAGACAACCUGCCUCCCAGCGGGGGAUACCCGCGGGAAACCGCGGCUAAUACCGCAUGCGAUCCGGAGCGGCCGCGCUUCGGGAUGAAAGGGGGAGCGCAAGCUCCUUCACUGGGAGAUGGGUCUGCGGCCUAUCAGCUCGUUGGCGGGGUAACGGCCCACCAAGGCGACGACGGGUAGCUGGUCUGAGAGGAUGAUCAGCCGGACGGGGACUGAGACACGGCCCGACUCCUUCGGGAGGCAGCAAUGAGGAAUCUUGCGCAAUGGGGGCAACCCUGACGCAGCGACGCCGCGUGGGUGAGGAAGUCCU
RNAcentral lists this ribosomal RNA (388 nucleotides) under uncultured bacterium. Its description in RNAcentral is "bacterial SSU rRNA". It matches the Rfam family "Bacterial small subunit ribosomal RNA", at positions 28 to 417 of the family's 1533-position model. The record is from RNAcentral.